AAGCGUUAUCCGGAAUUAUUGGGCGUAAAGGGUGUGUGGGUGGUCUUGUGCGUCUUCUGUGAAAUUCUUCGGCUUAACCGGGGGUCCGCAGGGGAAACGGCAGGACUAGAGGAUGCGAGAGGUGUGCGGAACUCAUGGUGUAGGGGUGAAAUCCGUUGAUAUCAUGGGGAACACCGAAAGCGAAGGCAGCACACUGGCGCACUCCUGACACUGAAACACGAAAGCGUGGGUAGCGAAUGGG
RNAcentral lists this ribosomal RNA (241 nucleotides) under uncultured bacterium. RNAcentral describes it as "partial 16S ribosomal RNA". It matches the Rfam family "Bacterial small subunit ribosomal RNA", at positions 536 to 776 of the family's 1533-position model. The record is from RNAcentral.